This 4193-nucleotide long non-coding RNA is filed under the name Olea europaea subsp. europaea. The record is from RNAcentral. Lineage: Eukaryota; Viridiplantae; Streptophyta; Magnoliopsida; Lamiales; Oleaceae.
AGAUGCUCAUAAUUUUGUUGACACGAUAAUCUCUCUCUCUCUCUCUAAUUGAAAAGAGCUCAGCAGCCUCAGCUUCAAAACCCAAAAUCACGGUCACAGCAAUGUCAUCACUUAAAUUGUAAGGCUGAGACAAGUCGUCUGUGCUGGAAAAGCAACAGCCAGCCUGAGAUGGUGGACUACACACUACCAAUUUUCCUCAUAUUUUGACGAACCGACCUGUUCAAACCGGAUCCCUUCAAGCUCAUUGGCCGUCUGCGUGGGCCUAGAACGCCGUCGGUUCGUUUUCCCGACUCGGUUCUAAAACUUGUCAAUUUUCGUUGACAUCCUACGGAAGGCGUCGGAGGAAUUCGGGUUCUCGACAACAUGUGUUGCCAAUUUUCUGAGAAACCUUGAAAGUACUUGAAAGUGAUGAAGAAAAAUUUGGUGUGCUGGGUUUGGGGAAGUUGUUAAAGCUCUUUCCUGAAGUGGUUAGUGAAUCUUUUGACCAUUUUUCUUGUAAAAAUUCUUCUUACCACGACUUCACUCCAUUGCUGCAGAAGAUUAAGGAAGGCUAAGGUAAUAUGAACUUUAAGGGAUUUCGUAUAUGAUAUAGGACUAAUAAUGUUGGUUUAUUUCCUCUUGUAACCAUCCUUGGGACGAGAGAGUAGGAUUAGGUUUCUGGUUACUCAAUGAGAUGUUCGAUUUUUCACUUAUUUUAGGGUUUCUUUUUUGGGUGAUUUUAAUUUAGAUUGUGAUGAUGAAGAAAAUAUUAUGAGAUUAAUGGAAGUUCUGGCUGAGAUUGUUAUGAAAUUUUAAACUCUGAAACAUUUUUAGGUUCAUUGCUGUAUUAUUUACAUGUUUAGACGUUUUAAUAUAUUUUUUUUCUGCCCCUAAUUUAGACGUUCUUUGGUUACCAAUGUUCAUUGUUCUUCUACUAGUAUUCUAAUCAUUUUUACUGCAUUUCUUUUAAUUCUUCUAAUUUUUAAGGUACGUUGUAGAAGUAUCAGAAAUUGAGGCGUAGAGCUGCCACUGUGAUUAGGACAAACGAAGCAUAGUGGAGCAGGACUCCGCAAGGGGAGCUAAAAUUGGACUCUUAGCAUGGUAAGGACAUUUAGCCUCAAGCUUACAAAAAAAGGUUAAGGUCCCCUACAUUGGCCAUGGGUGGCCCAAAAGGCUAAUAAAGAGGUCAAGGACAUUGGGCCCGGGCUAUAUCAUCCAUUCCAUGGACAUAAGUUGGACGCGAUGCAUGAGCAUGAGCAGUCAGUGACUCAUGGCCAUCCAUGUCGGAUGUAGGAGUUAAAUGGCAUCAUCAGGUAUUAUUCUUACAUCGUCAUGAAAGAUAAUGCGAUAGCAAUAGCUAUCAUACUUGUAGUUUAAAUGGACAUGUUAGUGUUUUAUGAAUAAGUAAAAUAUAUGCUGUGAUCUUAUUAUUUGUGUGUGUGUAUGUGUUUUAGUCGUUUUUUAGUCACAACUCAUUGCAUUGAAAAAUCAGGGCACACAAAUGGUGCCAAAAAUGAGGAAUGCAAUCAAUCCAACUGUGGAUAGCUGGAGAAGAAGUAGCAUAACUAGCUAGAUUGUGGACCUCUUUAUUCCAUUAUGAGGAAUGAAGCCACACGAACCACAUUCAACAACUUAAACAAGUGCUACAAUAAUUAAGCAAACUAGAGCAUUAAAGGACAAACUUUUACCAGAGACAAACCCACGUAGGACCCAAUAACCGCUUCAUUCCAUGGACUCACAUUUCUUCUCAAAGUGCCGAAUGAGCUUAUCAACCCUAAUUCAGAAUCCGAGCUCUCCUAGUCCCUUAGGUUUACAUAGCGUAUCCCAUUUCACAUUUGCCAUUUUCCUCCACCCUUAUUCAGAAUCCCACCAUAAUAGUUGAAAAAUAACUUAUUGCAAAGAGACUCAGGCAUUUUAGAUAUAAACAGUAUAUACGUUGGGAUAGAUUGCAAAAUCGCCUUAACCAAGACCUCUUGAUCCUGUGGAGAAUAAACACUGUUUUAAGCCUUGCACCCUCAUAUGUACCCUUCCUUUCAAUUGCUCAAAGUUACCCUUUUAUUCUUCCCAACAAUGAAAUCCAUUCUUAAGCAUCUUUCAUGAGGCCUAGCUUCUCCAAAUUAACCACUUGACAUGAUGUCCUCUCGUAUAUUGAAAGUUUAUUCAGGGCAGCUUGACAAUCCGAGGUUCUAGCAUGAGAAAGUACAAUGGAGUGAUGCGUGAAAAACAUGUAACUGGCUGCCCUUGAGCACUCUACUUCCACAAUCUCACCCUCAACCUCUACCUUAUAAAAGAGAGGGACUCUGUACACAGGAUGAAGAGAUAUGGGAAUAAUAGACAGCCCUUCCGAAGCCCCUGCCGUGGAUGACUCUCUUCCUAGGAGCCUCAUUGAAAUUGAACUUAAAUUUGGCCAUUGAGAUCAUGUAAUCACCAAAUUCACCCAGCCACUAGGAAAUUCUAUUUUCUCCAUAACACAGCCUACAAACACACACUUCACUCGGUCAUAAACUUUACUCAUGUCGAGCUUAAGCAGCUUGAAGGCUUACUUCCAUUACUCUUCUUACCAAUGAAUGUACCAAAUCCUGAGCAACAAUGACGUUGUCUGUAAUACGUCGGCCAGGGACAAAUGUACAUUGUUUAAUAGAUAUAAAGUUGGGUAGAAGUUUAUUGAGCCCGUGUUAAAUUAUUCUUGUGAUAUUUGUAUACCACAGUGCACAAACUGAUGAGCCUGCAGUCGCAGAUAAGUACAAGAUGCUUUAUUUUGAAAUUAAAAAAAGGGUAGUAUCAUUUGUAUGUCUGGCUGAUUUGCCAUUACGAGAACUUUAAGACAAGCCGAACAGACCAUCAUACCUACAACAGACCAGUGUUUUGGGAAAAAUAGAACAUGAACCCUGUCCAUACUUGGUGCUUUAGUUUGGUCCCAUAUGCUUCAAUUUUGCCUGAAGAGAAAGGGACAUCAAUCCAAGCCUUGUGCUAUGGAUACAACGUAGCAGAAAUACCCCACUCUCCAGCAUCCAAUUCUUCCACAAUAAGCCCCGUAAUGGAGAGUAGAGAUGUUUAACAAGUUUCAAGAAAUGGGACUACAUGUUUCUCACUCUCAAACCAAACCCCAGCCUCGUUCUGGAUUCUAGAUAAAUCAUUCUUUAUCAUAACUUAUUACACUAUAUUAAAGUUACAACCUAACUAUUUAACUGAUUGUGAUGCGGUGAAGGUUGACAGUAUUUACUUGUAAUUUAAAGAAUGACAUCAUAUCCUCCCUGUGUAGGCAUGUAAGAAUUUAGUGUUAGGAUCCCACAUUUUGAGCCAUUCAGCUCGUGACUGUUGUCUUCAGUACAUAUCAUCCCGCUUAGGCAAGACAUCAAUGUCAUGUUCCAACCCUUUUAUAGCAGCCAUGAUUGCCUACAGAUAGGAGAGCAUAUGGGUCGGCCAGAUGUUGCUCUUUCUCUUGUAGCUGUCCCAUACAUUUACCAAAAACUUGAACAUUCUCUGACUGCCUAACUCUGAUUGAAACUGAAUGAGCCCAUGGGAGAUGUAUAGAAGUUUUCAUGCAAUGGGACUAUAUUUUCCCGACCCUCACAGCAGUCUCAUUCUGGGAUUCUAGAUAAAUCAUUCUUCAUCAUCCUGGUAGAUUCCUUCGCAUGAAUGAAUUUAGUGUUCUGGUCUCGCUGUUUAAUCCAUUCAGCUCGUGACAGUUGUGUCCAACACAUUUCCUUUCGCUCAGACAAGACUUCAAUGUUGUGUUCCAACCUUUUAUAGCAGCCAUGGAUUGCCCUUACAGAGGAUAAGCAUAUAGGUCAGCAAGAAGCUAUUUUUCCUCUGCAAGUCUCUCACCCGUUUCAAAACUUGAACAUUCUCCAACUGCUCAAGACUGACAUUAAACAAGCUCAUGGGAGAGAUGUAUAGAAGUUUUCAAGGACUGGGACUACACGUUCCUCACCAGGCUCAUAUGGGAUUCUGAACAAGUCAUCCUUUGUCCUCAAAGAUGAGAGACUCAAUAGUAGAAUGAGUCUCUCAUAUAGAAGUUCACCAUUUGCUUUGCAACUAGCUUCACAAGCAGAAGAAGAAUAGGACAAUGAUCAGCUAUUGAGAACUCCAAAUGUGUAAUCAGGGAAUCAAGAUUAUUCCACAUGUAUUAACAGUAUUCCAGCAAUCUUUCGUAUUGAAAGAAAACAUCAAAGUAAGAUUGUAAAUCGUCAAGGAUCACUUUAAUACAUGGC